This 253-nucleotide ribosomal RNA is filed under the name uncultured bacterium. Its description in RNAcentral is "partial 16S ribosomal RNA". It matches the Rfam family "Bacterial small subunit ribosomal RNA", at positions 524 to 776 of the family's 1533-position model. The record is from RNAcentral.
UACGGGGGGGGCAAGCGUUGUUCGGAAUUACUGGGCGUAAAGGGUUCGUAGGUGGCCAACUAAGUCAGACGUGAAAUCCCUCAGCUUAACUGGGGAAUUGCGUCUGAGACUGGAUGGCUUGAGUGCAGGAGAGGAACGCGGAAUUCCAGGUGUAGCGGUGAAAUGCGUAGAUAUCUGGAGGAACACCGGUGGCGAAGGCGGCGUUCUGGACUGCUACUGACACUGAGGAACGAAAGCCAGGGGAGCAAACGGG